Nasonia vitripennis (jewel wasp) is the source of this 1365-nucleotide long non-coding RNA. RefSeq lists it as uncharacterized. The transcript is spliced from 3 exons. The record is from RefSeq and is a predicted model, not a curated record. Lineage: Eukaryota; Metazoa; Arthropoda; Insecta; Hymenoptera; Pteromalidae.
AGUGCAUAUAGAACCGUGUCACCUAUACCAAAACUGCUUUUUGUUAAAGAUCUGCUUGAACCGCUCAUGGUAUAACUGCCUCUAUCUUGUUGCACUUUUUGUCAUACAACAGCUUUCUCGAUUGUCUCAAAAGGGAUAGAUAGCAUUUCGUUGAAUAAUACGCAUCACGCUUCUUCGAAAUUCGAAAGGCGCAUCAGGAAGCCAGAAGCCGAGUCGACUUCCGCGAUCGGAAACACGUGCGGAAAAAGCUCCGUAUAGAUCGAAGUAGUCGUCGUCGUCGCGGGGACACUUCGCUAUAACCCCGUCCAAUCAGCGGACAAACAGAGGAUGCUCCUCUGCGCGAGAGCAGCGAAGGCACACUCCGUCGAAAGGAAUAAUCGGCCGAUAUCACAUGCGCAGACUGUUGAGCAUCGAAGCGCUCAUGUCCGAGUAUAACGACCGGCUUGCACUGCACGAGAGAGAGAGAGAGAGAGAGCCUCGCCGUGAGUCAUCGAGAAUAAUCCGAAUAAAUACGCCGCGCCGCCGCUGCCACUGACGCUCGCGAGCGCAAGGCCAAGGUCGCCAAGCGCGCGCGCGCUCGCGGCAGCCGGUUAUCACGGAAUAAAUUAAUACACCCCCUUUUUUACGAGCCGCGCGACAAUGUGCGCGAUGAAAACAAUGGCGUUUCACACUGCCGUCGCUGCUACUGCUUAUGUAUUGUGCGAACGUUGCAUGUAUGCACUGUGUAGCUGCGUACUUUUUACGAAUUCUUUGUGUAAUUGGGGUGUUUAAGCGCGGCGUUUGUGCUAUCUUUACGCGUGUGAGAUUAGAUUAAAUUUAUCAUUUAUGAGAUGUUUUAUGUUUAAAUAUGAGAGUUGCCAGUACAAAGGUCGCUUGCACGUUUACAGAGCAAAAGCUCAGCGAAAUACAAAAUUCCUCGCAAUAAAAAAGUCCGAUUAGAUAUAAAUACAAAACCGAAUUUUUUCCAUCGUCCGAUUAAAAUUAUUACAGAAAUGCGUUUCUAAUCCCGGUACAAUCAUUCGGCGAUUAUUCCAAUGCGACUGCAGCUCUACACAAUGAUCAACAAUUCCAGUGCCGAGUCAACGAGCAAACAUCAAGGAUUGCCUUAUAUCGGCUGUUUGGUAAACAGCGAAAAUUCAAUAUCGGCCGAACGGAAUGCUACACCGCUCGAAAAGCAUUAAAAAACGCUUUAUCGGCGACUGGACGGCGACCAGGUUUUAAAAUCAACAACCACGCUGGCCUUUCCGUUUCGAGGAAAAGCUAUGUGUGUACACACUGUAUGAGUUUAACAUUUUGCUGCUGCACACUUUUUUUUCAACGGCGAUUAUCGAUAAACGAACUUUUUCACUUAUGGUAUAUUGUAUA